Molecule: non-coding RNA, 54 nt
Filed under: Trypanosoma lewisi
Lineage: Eukaryota; Euglenozoa; Kinetoplastea; Trypanosomatida; Trypanosomatidae
Source: RNAcentral
AUAUAAAACUAUCACUAACUAAUGGGCUGUUAGAUAGAGAGAAAUUUAACGUGU